RNAcentral lists this ribosomal RNA (434 nucleotides) under uncultured Lachnospiraceae bacterium. RNAcentral describes it as "partial 16S ribosomal RNA". It matches the Rfam family "Bacterial small subunit ribosomal RNA", at positions 341 to 792 of the family's 1533-position model. The record is from RNAcentral. Lineage: Bacteria; Bacillati; Bacillota; Clostridia; Lachnospirales; Lachnospiraceae.
ACGGGAGGCAGCAGUGGGGAAUAUUGGACAAUGGGGGAAACCCUGAUCCAGCGACGCCGCGUGAGUGAAGAAGUAUUUCGGUAUGUAAAGCUCUAUCAGCAGGGAAGAAAAUGACGGUACCUGACUAAGAAGCACCGGCUAAAUACGUGCCAGCAGCCGCGGUAAUACGUAUGGUGCAAGCGUUAUCCGGAUUUACUGGGUGUAAAGGGAGCGUAGACGGAUGGCUAAGUCUGAUGUGAAAGGUGAGGGCUCAACCCUUAAACUGCAUUGGAAACUGGUCAUCUAGAGUGUCGGAGAGGUAAGUGGAAUUCCUAGUGUAGCGGUGAAAUGCGUAGAUAUUAGGAGGAACACCAGUGGCGAAGGCGGCUUACUGGACGAUAACUGACGUUGAGGCUCGAAAGCGUGGGGAGCAAACAGGAUUAGAUACCCUGGUA